UGUUGGUUUCGUGCUUAGGUUAAUGGCCUGUCUUACAUUUAUCUCUUCUCUUGAAUGCUCAGGUUUUGUCCCCUCUUCUUUCCUCAGGAAAUGAGUUUUGACAUUGCCGAGGACAUGGCCAAAGCGGAACUGAAGUACCAAGAGCCAGCUUUGGCUGGAGAAGCAUACGAGGUAUCACGCACCAAUUUCAUAAUCAUAAUAAUAACCAGGAAGCUGCUGCUCUCAAAUCAGAGCCCACAGAACCACCUCUUGAAAUGACAUCAGAGGUCAUUGAUGACAUGAAAUUUAUAAAAGUUGAAGAACAAACUCACAACGAGCAAAUAAACUGCCUAUGGAGUAGGCCUCGAAGAAGGAAUGGCGGUACUAACCUUUCCAUAGCAAAAGUCAAGGCAAUAGCAAGCGAAUAUGCAAACACCAGCAACGCAUUUUCACACCGUUGGUUUACAGCAUUGUAUCCUAGGGGCCCUAUCAUAUCAUGCCCCGGCUGUCCGCUACCUGUUGAGUU
Molecule: unclassified non-coding RNA, 505 nt
Filed under: Thrips palmi
Lineage: Eukaryota; Metazoa; Arthropoda; Insecta; Thysanoptera; Thripidae
Description: uncharacterized LOC117649656, transcript variant X2
Source: RNAcentral